RNAcentral lists this ribosomal RNA (305 nucleotides) under uncultured bacterium. Its description in RNAcentral is "bacterial SSU rRNA". It matches the Rfam family "Bacterial small subunit ribosomal RNA", at positions 334 to 653 of the family's 1533-position model. The record is from RNAcentral.
AUUUCCUACGGGGCGCAGCAGUGGGGGAUAUUGGGCAAUGGGGGGAACCCUGAUCCAGCGACGCCGCGUGAGUGAAGAAGUAUUUCGGUAUGUAAAGCUCUGUCAGCAGGGAAGAAAGAAAUGACGGUACCUGACCAAGAAGCCCCGGCUAACUACGUGCCAGCAGCCGCGGUAAUACGUAGGGGGCAAGCGUCAUCCGGAUUUACUGGGUGUAAAGGGUGCGUAGGUGGCAGGGCAAGUCAGAUGUGAAAGCCCGGGGCUCAACCCCGGUACUGCAUUUGAAACUGUCCAGCUGGAGUGCAGGG